This 768-nucleotide long non-coding RNA is filed under the name Homo sapiens (human). Its description in RNAcentral is "HSALNT0370721". The record is from RNAcentral. Lineage: Eukaryota; Metazoa; Chordata; Mammalia; Primates; Hominidae.
UUUGCUGGCUUUAGUAAAGCUAGUUGCCAUGUUGGGGAUGCCCAUGUGACAAGAAACUGAGGGUGGCUUCUGGCUACCAGCCAGCUUGAACUGAGUCUCACAGUCUAAUAUCCCAAAGGAAAUUAAUCCUGCCAACAACAUAAAAAGAAAAAGAAUGGAUUUUCCAGUCUCUUUGACCCCUGAGAUCUCAAAGCCCCUGUGAAGAUCGAUCAGUUGGCAUGGCUGGAUUCAGACUUCCCAGGCCAAGAGGACUUGAAGAAAUGAUCAGAUGAAUCUCAGAAACUCAGAGUUUGAAUAAUAGUUGUCGGUUAUUGCACACUUGCUGUGUGCCAGGCAUGGUGCUCACUGCUGCCCAUGGAUCAUUUCACCUAAUUUCAUCUACCAGCCUGAUAUCUGCACAUGUGAGAACCUGAGACGUAGGGAGUUUGCACGGCUUUAGCUUUCGCAGAAGGAGUAACACAGGGUCAUACCAACUUACUCCAGUUACCAAUUCUGUGACCUCAGAUGCCAAAACUCGAGGCGCAGAAAACCUAAGUAACUUGCUCAGGAUGCCAUACAGCAAGUGAGGGGCAGAGCCAGGAUUCUGUCUGAGCCCUCUGGUGGUUGGGCACCAUCAGCUCCAGGAAGCCUCUUCUAUGUGCUCCAGAAUUGGUUGCAUGGGGAGCCCCUAUGAACUUCACCUUCCUGAGCCUCAGUUUUCUGUAAAAUGGAUAUGAUAGCAACCACUCUUGCCUUACUUUAUACACAGUGCUGUUGGCAAAACCAAAU